GACGAACGCUGGCGGCGUGCUUAACACAUGCAAGUCGAACGGAAAGGCCCUGCUUUUGUGGGGUGCUCGAGUGGCGAACGGGUGAGUAACACGUGAGUAACCUGCCCUUGACUUUGGGAUAACUUCAGGAAACUGGGGCUAAUACCGGAUAGGAGCGCCUGCUGCAUGGUGGGGGUUGGAAAGUUUCGGCGGGUGGGGAUGGACUCGCGGCUUAUCAGCUUGUUGGUGGGGUAGUGGCUUACCAAGGCUUUGACGGGUAGCCGGCCUGAGAGGGUGACCGGCCACAUUGGGACUGAGAUACGGCCCAGACUCCUACGGGAGGCAGCAGUGGGGAAUAUUGCACAAUGGGCGGAAGCCUGAUGCAGCAACGCCGCGUGCGGGAUGACGGCCUUCGGGUUGUAAACCGCUUUCGCCUGUGACGAAGCGUGAGUGACGGUAAUGGGUAAAGAAGCACCGGCUAACUACGUG
This 468-nucleotide ribosomal RNA is filed under the name uncultured bacterium. RNAcentral's name for it is "partial 16S ribosomal RNA". It matches the Rfam family "Bacterial small subunit ribosomal RNA", at positions 28 to 507 of the family's 1533-position model. The record is from RNAcentral.